RNAcentral lists this ribosomal RNA (877 nucleotides) under uncultured bacterium. RNAcentral describes it as "bacterial SSU rRNA". It matches the Rfam family "Bacterial small subunit ribosomal RNA", at positions 610 to 1506 of the family's 1533-position model. The record is from RNAcentral.
GAGCUACUCGAAACUGCGUGAUACUAUCAUCUGAUGUCGUGAGUAGCGAAUAUGUCAUGUAGCGUGAAAUGCUAGAUAUGACAUAGAACACCAAUUGCGUAGGCAGCUUACUACACGAUUAUUGACGCUGAGGCACGAAAGCGUGGGAGCAAACAGGAUUAGAUACCCUGGUAGUCCACGCCCUAAACGAUGGAUACUCGACAUCAGCGAUACACUGUUGGUGUCUGAGCGAAAGCAUUAAGUAUCCCACCUGGGAAGUACGAUCGCAAGAUUGAAACUCAAAGGAAUUGGCGGGGGUCCGCACAAGCGGUGGAGCACGUGGUUUAAUUCGAUGAUACGCGAGGAACCUUACCUGGGCUAGAAUGCUGGGAGACCGUGGGUGAAAGCUCACUUUGUAGCAAUACACUGCCAGUAAGGUGCUGCAUGGCUGUCGUCAGCUCGUGCCGUGAGGUGUUGGGUUAAGUCCCGCAACGAGCGCAACCCCCAUCACUAGUUGCCAUCAGGUAACGCUGGGAACUCUAGUGAAACUGCCGUCGCAAGACGUGAGGAAGGAGGGGAUGAUGUCAAGUCAUCAUGGCCUUUAUGCCCAGGGCUACACACGUGCUACAAUGGGGAGGACAAAGGGCUGCCACUUAGUGAUAAGGAGCUAAUCCCAAAAACCUCUUCUCAGUUCAGAUUGGAGUCUGCAACUCGACUCCAUGAAGCUGGAAUCGCUAGUAAUCGUAUAUCAGCAAUGAUACGGUGAAUACGUUCCCGGACCUUGCACACACCGCCCGUCAAGCCAUGGAAGCCGGGUGUACCUAAAGUCGGUAACCGCAAGGAGCCGCCUAGGGUAAAACUGGUGACUGGGGCUAAGUCGUAACAAGGUAACCAAGGG